GCACAUAAAGUGCAUGGGGAUACGUUUAAGGCCAAGGAAGUGAAUGCCUUUUUGCAUUUACAAUGGCUGCACAUUACUUUCUACUUGGAGAAUUCCCAUUUUUACAUUGCUUUCAUUUUUGCUUCUUAAGAAACGUACCAGCACCCCUAAAUUAAACCAUUCUCUCUUAGCUAAUCAUUUUGUUUCUUAAGAAAAUUAGCAUUAACCAUGGCUGCCAAGCUCACGGCCAUGGCAGUCCACAAUAAGGCUCAAUAUUUUGAUAGCAAAAUAAAAUAAAAUAAAUAAAUAAAUAAUCUCCGAGGUGUUCUAAGUGUUUGAGGGAGCAGCAAGAUCAGAAGUUAAAGUUGAAGAAGAUGAAAUGGGCAAAUUGUGCAAGUUAUUGGAAGAUCUGUCCUAAUUAUAUUUGAGACCUGCGAGCUCGAGAAGUAGACGUUGGACAUUAGAUAGAGUUCAAGGUAUGUGAGGCUAGUCCUUUCUUUCUAUGGCAUGAAUCUUAUAGCUUGACUCUCUUUUUAUCCAUGAGUUUCCUUAAGUUCCGAAAAAUACGAGUCUAUGCCCAUAAUUAGACACACAAGGUAAUGAGUAAAGUAUAGAAAUCUCAAUACUCAUGUUGUGAUGAUCCUAUGAUGUUAAUGAUGUUAUUUAUUGCUUACACUCACCUUAUAUGCUAAUUCCUUCAAGGUGAGGCAGGAUGUCAAUGAAUGUUCCAUAAUGACGUCGGAAGCCACCGACUUUACGUCACUCCGAUAUAGUUAUGGCUUUUGAUUGGGAUCUUAUGCAUGCUUUAUAUAUAUACGUAUGUAUUUUCUCACACCGCGCCGCGCUAUAGUCGGCCGGGCAUGCACGUAGAUGUGCACACCACUAUAGUGGGCAGCUUAUACCCCGGACGCGGGAGGCCUGGACGCAGGCUAUGAUUAUCACACCGCUCCUACCUGGACGGGCAGUUAUACAUUAUCACACCGUACCUAUAUGGACGGGCAGCUUAUAUGUGUAUACAUACAUGGUAAUGAUUAUGAGUAAGUGAGCAUGCAUUAUUUCAGUUAUUUUUGAUAUCCAGUACAGAUUGCCCUUUCUUGAUGCCUCCUUAUCUCAUUGAUGCCUUCAUAUUUCAUUGAUAUAUUGCUAUUGUUUAUGCCUCUCAUACUCAGUACAAUAUUCGUACUGACGUCCGUUUUCUUCGGACGCUGUGUUCAUGCCCACAGGUAGACAGGGAGGUGAGCUUGAUCCAGAUUCUUAGUAGCUGUCAGCUGAUUGAGAGCACUCCAUUGUUCGGAGGUGCUUAUGUUUAUUCUUUUGGCUCCUUUAUGUAUUUCGCGCACGACGGAGUCUUGUUCCGUCUAUAUGUAUAAUAUGUCAGUAGAGGCUCGUAGAUGCGCAGUGUGGGUUAGAUGGUCUCACAAGAUUACUAUGUUAUAUUUGUAUAUGUUAUUUUGAUGGCCUAAGGGGCACAUGUAUAAUAAAAUCAUUUGUGUUGUCAAAUGAAAAAUGGUUGUCUUA
Molecule: long non-coding RNA, 1497 nt
Organism: Lycium barbarum (goji berry)
Lineage: Eukaryota; Viridiplantae; Streptophyta; Magnoliopsida; Solanales; Solanaceae
Exons: 2
Source: RefSeq, a predicted model, not a curated record